CGCGAGGCGAGGGCGAGGCCAACGGCCGCCCCCGGCCCCGGCGCCCCUCGGCAGCCGCGCCGGGAAGCUGCUGAGGCAAGGCCUUCCAGGGUUCAGGUGCGAGGCCCCUCGCUGCCGCUCCUGAGCCUGUGUCACGGCUUAGGCCGUGCUCGGCCGCCUCUUGUGCGUGAAAGGUGCUGCUGUGGCGAGCGGAACCCGGCAUUUCCUGAGUGCAGCGCUCAUGUGCCACGGGCUUGGUGUUGUCCCCAGGAAAGCCUCUUCCUAGAUGGAAUAGAGAACACCCAUAGAGAAAGAAAAGAUGGUCAAGUUUCUGGGAAGAGGAAGCUCUCGCCUGGAUUUGCUACCCUAUCUAGACAAGUUUUGUGGACAUUCUUCACUUCUUCUGUAUCUUCACAAUGAUACAGAAGAAACCAGGAUAUGUGCAUCACUGCCAUCAAAUAUUAGACUUAAAACACUGGAAGAGGUCUGUGCCACCAGGAUCCCCUAAAACACCAGCAUCACCUAAAACACCUGGACUGUUAGAGGUAUUUUGGUUACAUACAUCAUUUCACUCAGUCAUAUCAGUUAAAAAGAGUGCCCUGGUUAAGUUCUGGGAAAUUGUUGGAACAUGCCAUAAGCAGUAUUUUAGAUUUUGAAUUUUAUGUAUAUUAUAGCAUAAAACAAUGCCUUAAUAUUUAAAAUAAUAAUUAUGUUUUAAUGAAAGCUGAAAUAUCAAGACCUAGGUAUUGAAACUAAUGUAACUGUAAACAGGAACUGAAACAUGCCUCAAUAAACCCUAGGAGAAAGCUGGGAACA
Molecule: long non-coding RNA, 795 nt
Filed under: Apteryx rowi (Okarito brown kiwi)
Lineage: Eukaryota; Metazoa; Chordata; Aves; Apterygiformes; Apterygidae
Description: lncRNA (ENSARWG00000015165.1)
Source: RNAcentral